RNAcentral lists this ribosomal RNA (253 nucleotides) under uncultured bacterium. RNAcentral's name for it is "partial 16S ribosomal RNA". It matches the Rfam family "Bacterial small subunit ribosomal RNA", at positions 524 to 776 of the family's 1533-position model. The record is from RNAcentral.
GACGUAGGGCGCGAGCGUUGUCCGGAUUUAUUGGGCGUAAAGCGCACGUAGGCGGAUAUUUAAGUCGGGGGUGAAAUCCCGGGGCUCAACCCCGGAACUGCCUUCGAUACUGGGUAUCUUGAGUUCGGAAGAGGUGAGUGGAAUUGCGAGUGUAGAGGUGAAAUUCGUAGAUAUUCGCAGGAACACCAGUGGCGAAGGCGGCUCACUGGUCCGAUACUGACGCUGAGGUGCGAAAGCGUGGGGAUCAAACAGG